AUUGAACGCUGGCGGCAUGCCUUACACAUGCAAGUCGAACGGCAGCACGGGAGCAAUCCUGGUGGCGAGUGGCGAACGGGUGAGUAAUAUAUCGGAACGUGCCCAGUCGUGGGGGAUAACGUAGCGAAAGCUACGCUAAUACCGCAUACGAUCUAUGGAUGAAAGCGGGGGAUCGCAAGACCUCGCGCGAUUGGAGCGGCCGAUAUCAGAUUAGGUAGUUGGUGGGGUAAAAGCCUACCAAGCCUUCGAUCUGUAGCUGGUCUGAGAGGACGACCAGCCACACUGGAACUGAGACACGGUCCAGACUCCUACGGGAGGCAGCAGUAGGGAAUAUUGGACAAUGGGCGGAAGCCUGAUCCAGCCAUCCCGCGUGUAGGAAUAAGGCCCUAUGGGUUGUAAAUUACUUUUAUUAGGGAAGAAAAACUUUAGAUUUAUCAGAGCUUGACGGUACCUAAGGAAUAAGCACCGGCUAACUCCGUGCCAGCAGCCGCGGUAAAGU
This 499-nucleotide ribosomal RNA is filed under the name uncultured bacterium. RNAcentral describes it as "bacterial SSU rRNA". It matches the Rfam family "Bacterial small subunit ribosomal RNA", at positions 30 to 526 of the family's 1533-position model. The record is from RNAcentral.